This is a long non-coding RNA of Hevea brasiliensis (rubber tree), 1529 nucleotides long. RefSeq lists it as uncharacterized. Lineage: Eukaryota; Viridiplantae; Streptophyta; Magnoliopsida; Malpighiales; Euphorbiaceae. The record is from RefSeq and is a predicted model, not a curated record. The transcript is spliced from 6 exons.
CAAGUGACGCCACUUUAAAACUUUGGAGAGGAAGGACAUGCGUUCGCACUUUUGUGGGGCAUACAGGCUAAGUUUUCUGCUUUUCUUUCAAACAUACUGUAUUAUUGCUUCAUUGUAAUCAUGAAAUGAUCUGGUAAAAAAUGGGAUGCUAUAGUUCUUUCAUGCAAUUUUGAGGCAAUCACAUAGCCUGUUAAGGGGCAGUAGUAAUGACAAAAGUGUGGACAUGAUUUUUUUAGAAGUUACUAUGAUGAGGUUAGUGAUUUUUAAUAACUUCAUUUACUAGUGCUUGAAAGGAAGUGAAGGCAUAUUUUUUCAGUUCUUAACGGACAUAAAAUUCGCUAUUCUCAGUUCUGUAUUGUUUAUAUUUUCUCUUUGUAUGUUUGGAAUUGCCUUCCUUUUCACUUUUUAACUCUCUACAUAAGCUUUUAAGUUUUGAACAGAUUUUAUCAUAUAUCAUAUGGUUUAACGAUGUUUAUAGGGUUUAUAUACGUUUCUGUUGAUAUUUAGUAGUUUUCCAUGGCAAUACUCAUGUUGUGCCCAAAUUAUGAUUUUGUUAAUGCUCACUGGAAGUUGGGUUACUAUGCAUUGGAUGAUGAUUGAUGCACUCUAAGUCUCUAACUUGCAAAAAUAAGAGAGCUUCCUAAGUCUGCCAGGAGAUCUUGGUCAAAUGUUUAGGAUAGCUUGUAUGCUUAUAAUAAAUUACUCAUGAACUUUAAGAAUUGUGCAGAUACGGUUUGGGGCUUAGCAGAGAUGCAUGGAUUGGGUGUUCUUUCUGCAUCACAUAAUGGUUCAAUCAGGUUAUGGGUGCUAGCAGGCCAAGUGUUGAUGGAGAUGGUUGGUCAUACUUCCAUUGUCUAUUCAGUUGAUUCCUAUAUGUCUGGACUUAUUUAGAUUGGCGGUGAAGAUUGUUUGACCAAGAUAUGGAAAGAUGGAGUUUGUGUUCAUAGCAUAGAGCAUCUUGGUUGUGUUUGGGAAUUGGGAAAGAAGAUGGUGACGUUGUGACGGCAUGUUCAGAUGAAGUUUUAUGUGUUUGGACAUCACAUCAGGAUAUGAUUGUAGAUCCACUAGAUCUUGAGUCAUGUGUUUCCCAACUCUCUCAAUGCAAGUUAAGCAGUUUUGAUUUAUUUGUAUGAGGAAGAGGGUUGGAGGACUGAAAUUGAAAGAUUUACCAAGGCUAGAUGCUUUACAGAUUCCAGGUGUAAUUUUAUGAUAUCGCCAGUCUGCAUAGGAGGACAUGUUGGGCUUGAAUCUCGAUUGUGCUAUUCCCCUGUUGACAUUUAUGUUUACAAGAACUAUGACCCGGAAAUGACAAAAAUGUGGAGGAAAUUGGUGUCAAGGAGGCAUUCAUUGGCGAUCAUUCAGAGCUAUUCAUUGCGAUCAUUCAGAGCCAUGGUUUGUGUAACAAUCAACACCUAUAAGGGACUCUUGAAAGGAAAUUAACAGUAUGAAUUAUUGCUUUGGCCUUCAGUUGGAAUAGGAAACCUUGUCAUGCUAUCUAGAGAUAUGCAAGAGAAUUUGCAGCUAGUGAA